This 234-nucleotide ribosomal RNA is filed under the name Triticum aestivum (bread wheat). RNAcentral's name for it is "partial small subunit ribosomal RNA". Lineage: Eukaryota; Viridiplantae; Streptophyta; Magnoliopsida; Poales; Poaceae. The record is from RNAcentral.
AAUGCUAGCCUCCGAGAACAAUACCCAGCCUUAUACAACAUUGCACACGAUAAGAAUAACACUAUUGCGCAAGUGCUCAGCUCAUCCCCGCCAAAUAUUUCGUUCAGGCGGGAUUUGAUUGGCACCCGACUUAUGUCAUGGAAUAAUCUAUUGUCCCGUCUGGAUUCGAUUAUCCUGACACAAGGUCGUGAUGUGUUUCGCUGGAACCUUACUACAUCGGGGUCUUUCACAGUA